UAAGACUGUGCCUCUGAGAGCUCUGGACCAGAACACCCUAGCCUUCAGCAUGGCGAAACCAACGAAGAAUUCACAGAACACUACACCAGAUACUGAGCCAUCAACUUCAAGUGCGAGACCCAAGAAAACAAAGAAUUGCCAUCAACCCAAAAACAGAACUAGAAGCAAGAAGAAUCCUCAGCCUUGUUCCAAAUGUAGUAGGAAGGUACAAAGAUUGAUAAAGAAGGCCAAGAACAUCCUGCCAAGUAUCCCAAAAAAGAAAGCUUCGAAGAAAACUGCACCACCGAAAAAGAAGAUUAAACGGGCCAAAUGUGAAGCACUAUUCCAUCGCCGCCGCCACCUAAUGGAUGAGAUGACCACUACUAGCACUGAAACGGAAGCCGAGCCAACUAGUUCAGACAGCUCCACUGAGUCAUCUAGUGAUGAGGAAAGUCAAUAGACUCAGCAAGCCAACAAAGACCUGGAAAUCUGUUCAAAGGUCUGGCAGUUGAACAAUGUCAAACUGUGUAGAUAGACCAGUUACUACGCAGUGCUUUGAUGCUGAUGAAAAUAAAAUCAAUCUGAUAUGAAAA
Rattus norvegicus (Norway rat) is the source of this 572-nucleotide long non-coding RNA. RefSeq annotates it as RIKEN cDNA 1700040F17 gene like. NCBI's taxonomy places the organism in Eukaryota, Metazoa, Chordata, Mammalia, Rodentia, Muridae. The transcript is spliced from 2 exons. The record is from RefSeq and is marked validated.